UUGGGGCUGGCAGCGAUCGAGUGCUGCAGGAAGAGGCAGGCCUCAAGACCCACCUGGAUGCACUCUGGUGAUGCCCCAACCAAGUUCUUCAUGGUAAAAAUCUGCUCGAGAAGGAGGAAGAAUUUCAUUCAUGCGCUGAAAAUCAAUGAAACGGUAGCCACGGAGCACAACGACAAAGGAGCAGCCAUUCACAACCAUUUUGAUAACAUCCUUGGAGCUACCCAAUAGAGAUUAACCACGAUUAACUAGAGCUAGAUUCAAAUGCCAACAAUCCAAGGCGGUGGGCUCGACAACCCAUUUUCAGAUGAAGAGGUGUGGGCUUUCAGACCACGCCGGCAGAGAAAUCACCCGGGCCGGACGGAUUUAGUGGCUUGUUCUUCAGGUCAUGCUGGCCGAUAA
RNAcentral lists this ribosomal RNA (399 nucleotides) under Triticum aestivum (bread wheat). Its description in RNAcentral is "partial small subunit ribosomal RNA". Lineage: Eukaryota; Viridiplantae; Streptophyta; Magnoliopsida; Poales; Poaceae. The record is from RNAcentral.